RNAcentral lists this long non-coding RNA (393 nucleotides) under Homo sapiens (human). RNAcentral's name for it is "non-protein coding lnc-EPHA6-1:5". The record is from RNAcentral. Lineage: Eukaryota; Metazoa; Chordata; Mammalia; Primates; Hominidae.
AUGGGUGUUGAGCUUGAACGCUUUCUUAAUUGGUGGCUGCUUUUAGGCCUACUAUGGGUAUUAAAUUUUUUACUCUCUUUACAAGGUUUUUUCCUAGUGUCCAAAGAGCUGUUCCUCUUUGGACUAACAGUUAAAUUUACAAGGGGAUUUAGAAGGUUCUGUAGGUAAAUUUAAACUGUUCUUAGGUAGCUCGUCUGGUUUCGGGGGCCUUAGCUUUGGUUCUCUUUGCAAAGUUAUUUCUAGUUAAUUCAUUAUGCAAAAGGUACAGGGGUUAGUCCUUGCUGUAUUAUGCUUGGUUAUAAUUUUUCAUCUUUCCCUUGCGGUACUAUAUCUAUUGCGCCGGUUUACAAUUUCUAUCGCCUAUACUUUAUUUGGGUAAAUGGUUUGGUUAAG